Long non-coding RNA from Dioscorea cayenensis subsp. rotundata (Guinea yam), 3173 nucleotides. RefSeq lists it as uncharacterized. NCBI's taxonomy places the organism in Eukaryota, Viridiplantae, Streptophyta, Magnoliopsida, Dioscoreales, Dioscoreaceae. The record is from RefSeq and is a predicted model, not a curated record. The transcript has 9 exons.
ACUUGGCUUCUUUCCUUCUUCCUUCUCACAACCGCAAGAUCCUCCUCCUUGCCACCGCCGGUCCUCAUCUCCGCCGAUGCCACCGCCGCCAGAUCCCGUCACAUAUUGUUCUUCAUGCUCUACUCUGUGAUUUGGAAGCAACCCGGCAUAUUUUCAUCUUCAGUUUGAGAGUGUUUGUGUUGCAAGGCUUAUUAGAGUGUUUGUGAGGGAAGCAAGAGCUCACAAAACCAUUGCUCCUUUGGCUGGUUCACGAGGGAAAAGCAUUGAAGAUCAACGCCAGCCGGAUUUCUCAAUUAGCAAACCUUGAUAAAGUUUGCAUUCUUGGUUGUAGCAUUUCAUCAGGUCUUGGUGCUGUUUUGAAUGUAGCAAAACCAGCAAAGGGAUCAUCAAUUGCUGUUUUCGGCCUUGGAGCUGUAGGACUUGCGGCGGCCGAAGGGGCGAGGAUCUCAGGGGCUUUGAGAAUUAUCAGUGUUGAUGUGAACUCGAGAAAAUUUGAUCAAGGUACUGAGAGAAGAUUGCAAGCAAUAUCAAAUUCUGAAGAAUUAUUGAAGUUGCGAAAUGGAUAGAGACCGUUCUUGGAUGUAUUCGAGACUCCAUGAUGGGUUCAUUAAGCCUAACUAUUUCAAUGGAGCUGAGGGUUUUAUUUCUUUUGCAUUUUCUCAACAUGAUUUCGUCCGUGGGAAUAAAAUUAGAUGUCCUUGUGUUGGUUGUCAAAAUAAUAAAUGGCAAAUUUCUGACAAUGUCUGCAAGUACCUUUUUCUUAAAGGCUUCAGUUAUGGUUAUACUACUUGGAUUUUACAUGGAGAACAACCGACUGGAGAGUCAUCACAUAGCAGGGCUGACGAUGAGCCAAUAUGUCAAGGAAAAUAUGAAAAUUUAUAUGCGAGGAUGGUUAUGGAUGUUGCAAUGGGGAGUUUUGAUUUUGAUGCUCAUCAAGGUAAUGAACCGAGGGUAGAAUGAACCGUUGUGGUCUGGAUGUGUAAACCAUACAAAGUUAUCAGCUGUCUCUCAACUUUUAAAUUAUAAGACUGAAUUUAACAUGAGUGAGUCAAGUUUUAAUCGUCUCAUAAAAGUUGUAAAGAGCAUGUUGCCACCAGAUGAAUGUUUACCAGAAGAAUUUUAUAGAAUGAAGAAGAGACUGACAAAACUUGGACUUGGUUAUGUCCAAAUUCAUGUAUGCCCGAAAAAUAGCAUGUUGUUUUUAUAGAUAAACACUUGAGUUAGAAUAUUGCUCAAUAUGCGGACAUCCCCGAUAUAAGCCAAGUAAGUCAAGUGGCAGAAGACAAAAAAGGAUUCCUUUUAAGAUUCUGCGUUACUUUCCACUUAUACCAAGGCUUCAAAGGCUUUAUAUGUCUACCAAAAUUGCUGAACACAUGACUUGGCAUGCAUAUAACAAAAGUAAUGAUGGAGUGCUUUGACAUCCAAUUGAUGGUGAGGCUUGGCAACACUUCAAUCUCACACAUGAAUCAUUUGCUAUGGAACCUCGAAAUGUCCAGCUUGGGUUUGUGUGCUGAUGGUUUCAAUCCAUUUGGCCCAGCUUCAAAACCAUAUUCUGUAUGGCCAGUAAUGCUUAGUGUGUACAACUGACCACCAUGGAUGUGCAUGAAAAAACCGUACAUAUUCCUUGGUAUGGUCAUUCCUGGAAAUCCAAAUCAAAAUAUUGAUGUUUUUUUACGACCCCUAAUAGAUGACUUGAAACAUUUGUGGAGUGAUGGUUGUAUGACGUAUGAUGCAUAUAGGAAACAAAAUUUUACGUUACGUGCUGCAUUAGUAUGGACAAUUAAUGAUUUUCACGCCUAUGGGAUCUUGUCUGGGUGGAGCACUCAUGGAAGAUUAUCUUGUCCAUACUGCAUGGAACAUACAAAGUCUUUUAUACUAAAUCAUGGUAGGAAGCUAUGUUUUUUUAACUGUCAUCGUUGAUUCUUACCUUCAGAUCAUCCGUUCAAGAAGCAAAGAGAUAAGUUCAGCAAUGGAGUGGAGCGUGAUGCUCUGAUUCCUCGAUAUUCAGGGGAAGAAAUAUUGAUGAGAAUUAAUUCUCUUCCUAAUAUUACAUAUGGCAACAAUGUCAGUACUGAAAGUGUUCCAGGCUAUGGAGACAACCAUCAUUGGGUGAAGAAAAGUAUUUUUUGGGAGUUGACAUAUUGCCAUACCAAUCUUAUUCGCCACAAUUUGGAUGUCAUGCAUAUUGAGCGAAAUGUUUUUGAUAAUAUUUUCAACACAGUAAUGGAUGUCAAAGGAAAAACCAAGGACAACAUCAAGGCACGAAAGGAUUUGGAGUUGUAUUGUAGACGACCACAAUUGCAUUUGAUUGAAAGUAAUGGAUGGACUUUCAAACCUAAGGCAUCUUAUUGCUUGAGUAAAGAGCAAAAGAAAUGCGUAUGUGCAUGGGUGAAACAGUUGAGACUUCCUGAUGGUUUUGCAUCAAACAUAGCACAAUAUGUAAAUGAGGCCCAAAGCCAAUUAUAUGGGAUGAAAAGUCAUGAUUGUCAUGUAUUCAUGCAACGUUUUCUUCCGAUUACAUUUUGAGAUCUUCUGCCCAAUUCAAUUUGGGAUGUGAUUACUGAACUAUCUCAUUUCUUUAGAGAUAUUUGUUCAACUGAAAUCCGCAUCGAUCAUAUGAUAUUAUUGGAAGGAAAUAUCAUUGAAACAAUUUGUAAGAUGGAAAAAUUCUUUCCUCCGGGGUUUUUUGAUAGCAUGGAACAUGAACCAAUACACUACCAUAUGAGGCUAAGGUGGGUGUGCCUAUACAAUAUCGCUGGAUGUAUCCAUUUGAGAGAUUUUUGCAUCAUAUAAAGAAGAAGGUGAAAAUUUUGGCAUGUGUUGAGGGAUCCAUUUGUGAGGCAUAUGUUAUUGAAGAAAUUUCAUUAUUUUGCUCAUUAUAUUUUGAACCCAAUGUGGAAACAAACUUGAAUCAGGUUCCACGUAAUGAUGAUGGUGGUGAUACGGAACCAAUGGGACGUCUAUCAAUUUUCACACAUCCCGGACGAUUUCUCAGUGCUAAGCCAUUAUUUCAAUAUCUAAAAGAUGAUGAGUACUAUGCUGCGGAAUUAUAUGUUAUAAUGAAUUGCACGAAGGUCACCCCCUACAUUGACAUCUUUGAUGAAAUGGUUAAAGGAGAUUCUCCAAAUAUAAGAGAAGUUGAACUAGAGAAAGUGCGAAAUACAAGAUUUGCA